AGUCUUUUGUGUUCUUUCCUUUCUCUUCCUUUCUUUCUUUUUUAUUCUUCUAAUUCUUAAAUCUUAACAUGGUACCAGAGCAUUGGAUCCAUUAUGGUUUCAGUAUUGUUCAUCAGGGGAACUAUUCAUUGACACUGUUUAUGGGUAUUGUCCACGACAUUGUUUAUGACUACUAUUCAUGACAUUGUUCACAGGUACUGUUCAUAGAAACAAUUUGGAGAAGAUUUUGGUUGGUGCUCCUUAAAAGAUGUUUUUGGUCAUGCUUCCAACUGCCCAUAGUCACACCAGGGCUGCUUUAAUUUGUUCAGUUUCUUAAGUGUGGUUUGAUAAAGUUCUGAGGUUUUGUUUCUAAUUCUUCAAUGGUGUUUGGUCUCUU
Molecule: unclassified non-coding RNA, 376 nt
Filed under: Hevea brasiliensis (rubber tree)
Lineage: Eukaryota; Viridiplantae; Streptophyta; Magnoliopsida; Malpighiales; Euphorbiaceae
Source: RNAcentral